This 508-nucleotide ribosomal RNA is filed under the name uncultured bacterium. Its description in RNAcentral is "partial 16S ribosomal RNA". It matches the Rfam family "Bacterial small subunit ribosomal RNA", at positions 28 to 507 of the family's 1533-position model. The record is from RNAcentral.
GACGAACGCUGGCGGCGUGCCUAAUACAUGCAAGUCGAACGCUUCUUUCCUCCCGAGUGCUUGCACUCAAUUGGAAAGAGGAGUGGCGGACGGGUGAGUAACACGUGGGUAACCUACCCAUCAGAGGGGGAUAACACUUGGAAACAGGUGCUAAUACCGCAUAACAGUUUAUGCCGCAUGGCAUAAGAGUGAAAGGCGCUUUCGGGGGUCGUUGAUGGAUGGAUGCGCGGUGCAUUAGCUAGUUGGUGAGGUAACGGUUCACCAAGGCCACGAUGCAUAGCCGACCUGGGAGGGUGAUCGGCCACACUGGGACUGAGACACGGCCCAGACUCCUACGGGAGGCAGCAGUAGGGAAUCUUCGGCAAUGGACGAAAGUCUGACCGAGCAACGCCGCGUGAGUGAAGAAGGUUUUCGGAUCGUAAAACUCUGUUGUUAGAGAAGAACAAGGACGUUAGUAACUGAACGUCCCCUGACGGUAUCUAACCAGAAAGCCACGGCUAACUACGUG